Oncorhynchus masou masou (cherry salmon) is the source of this 1105-nucleotide long non-coding RNA. RefSeq lists it as uncharacterized. The record is from RefSeq and is a predicted model, not a curated record. The transcript is spliced from 2 exons. Lineage: Eukaryota; Metazoa; Chordata; Actinopteri; Salmoniformes; Salmonidae.
GACAGUCACAACUCUAGGUUUGACUGUAAACACACCUGUUGUACAGAGGACAGUCACAACUCUAGGUUUGACUGUAAACACACCUGUUGGACAGUCACAACUCUAGGUUUGACUGUAAACACACCUGUUGGACAGUCACAACUCUAGGUUUGACUGUAAACACACCUGUUGGACAGUCACAACUCUAGGUUUGACUGUAAACACACCUGUUGGACAGUCACAACUCUAGGUUUGAUUGUAAACACACCUGUUGCACCGAGGACAGUCACAAUCCUUUUCUGUUACUCGUCCCAUCUUUACUGAACUCAAUUGUGACUGAAUAGUUGUUGUACAGUUUUUAUAAUGUUUGUGUAAACUGUACUCCAACUAUUGCCUCACGAGACAGUUUAUAACGGACAGCUGUCCUGCUCCAGUUGUGUGUAUAUAUAAAGUUACAUUAUUAUGAAGGGAAAUGAAUUGAAGGGCAUUUUGACUUCAUGUGUGUAGGAAUGGAUAUGAUUGAGUUGAUAUAUUAUUGUAAAAUGUUUUUUCUGUUGGGAGGUGUACAGUAUACUGCAUGAUUAUAAACGAUUCAUCUCUGUUGGGAGGCAUAUAUUGAAUAUAUCUUCACAGUCCUCAUGUUUUCUGUUGGGAGGCUUACACUGUUAAUAUCUACACAGUCCUCAUGUUUUCUGUUGGGAGGCUUACACUGUUAAUAUCUACACAGUUCUCAUGUUUUCUGUUGGGAGGCUUACACUGUUAAUAUCUACACAGUCAUGUUUUCUGUUGGGAGGCUUACACUGUUAAUAUCUACACAGUCCUCAUGUUUUCUGCAGUGGGGGUACACCCCAAAUUAAUCCCUAUAUAGUGAGCCCAUAGAGCGCUGGUUAGAAGUAGUUCACACUACAGGGGAUAGGAGGCCAUUUUGGACGGACUCCUUGUUGUUGUUGUUCUCCUGUUGGUUUCCAUGGUUUCACUCUAUACCUCCUUUCUUACUGCCGGAUACAAAACAGCUGUGGUGACAAUGUCUUGCUGUUGAUCGAUGUACCGUCGUUAUUUUAUCAUCGUGUAUGUAUGUUUGUUCUCGGUCAACUUAAAUCUCAAUAAACUAUGUGAAUAAACUGAA